Helianthus annuus (common sunflower) is the source of this 185-nucleotide long non-coding RNA. RefSeq lists it as uncharacterized. The transcript is spliced from 4 exons. The record is from RefSeq and is a predicted model, not a curated record. Lineage: Eukaryota; Viridiplantae; Streptophyta; Magnoliopsida; Asterales; Asteraceae.
AGUAUGAUGGAGGGAGUACUGACUGUGCGAUUCGGUUCUGUAAAGAUGUGGAAACGAGAUCACAAUCGGGAUAUGUUGGUUUUGGCAAAUUUGAGGGCUUCAACUAUUUUGUUGCCGGUUCAGAACGUUAUAAUUUUGUUCAAGUGUGUUAUACCUUUAAGUUCAUUUCUGAUUCACACAUGUAG